Molecule: ribosomal RNA, 1398 nt
Filed under: Salmonella sp. VII
Lineage: Bacteria; Pseudomonadati; Pseudomonadota; Gammaproteobacteria; Enterobacterales; Enterobacteriaceae
Description: bacterial SSU rRNA
Rfam family: Bacterial small subunit ribosomal RNA (bases 658-1398)
Source: RNAcentral
CGCUCUGGCAGACGACGAAAACAAGCGGGCACUAGCUCCGGGACGAGAGGAGGUCGCAGGGGCGAAAACGGCACACUGUCCUGAUGACACCGAAAAUCCCGAGCCUGCACGCUGUGUUAGGGAAAGGGCCUAUACCGAAAGGUGCGGAGUUUCUCGAGCCACGACAAAAAAUCGUCUAAGAUAACGAAAAAUUGAAUCUUUGGACCGCGUUGUUAGCCUAUAACUGCUGGCAGGUUAACACCGCAGGCCAAAAAGGCCAUCCACGACGCACGCAACGAGUUUUUGACGUGGCUAAGGAUAGUCCCCACAAAGAGGUGGAGGUAGACGACCGUUCACUUGACGCGGUGGGUCGUAACGAACGGGGGAAUCAGGACGUUGUGCGAUUUUUCGGACUGUAAGAGAAAGUGGAUGACGGGACUAGACCUCCGCGUUAGUUGGUACCUCUGGCUGAGAGGGCGUGCGUGAAGGUGAGGGACUCGGUCCUUGGUUAUGAUUUAGCCUUAAUGACCCGCAUUUCGCGUGCGUCCGCCAGACAGUUCAGCCUACACUUUAGGGGCCCGAGUUGGACCCUUGACGUAAGCUUUGACCGUCCGAUCUCAGAACAUCUCCCCCCAUCUUAAGGUCCACAUCGCCACUUUACGCAUCUCUAGACCUCCUUAUGGCCACCGCUUCCGCCGGGGGACCUGUUUCUGACUGCGAGUCCACGCUUUCGCACCCCUCGUUUGUCCUAAUCUAUGGGACCAUCAGGUGCGGCAUUAAACGAUGUCGAUUUGGAGGUUGUGCCCUUGAGGCGUGGCUUCCGGAGCUAACGCGUUAAAUCGACCGCCUGGGGAGUACGGCCGCAAGGUUAAAACUCAAAUGAAUUGACGGGGGCCCGCACAAGCGGUGGAGCAUGUGGUUUAAUUCGAUGCAACGCGAAGAACCUUACCUGGUCUUGACAUCCACAGAACUUUCCAGAGAUGGAUUGGUGCCUUCGGGAACUGUGAGACAGGUGCUGCAUGGCUGUCGUCAGCUCGUGUUGUGAAAUGUUGGGUUAAGUCCCGCAACGAGCGCAACCCUUAUCCUUUGUUGCCAGCGGUUAGGCCGGGAACUCAAAGGAGACUGCCAGUGAUAAACUGGAGGAAGGUGGGGAUGACGUCAAGUCAUCAUGGCCCUUACGACCAGGGCUACACACGUGCUACAAUGGCGCAUACAAAGAGAAGCGACCUCGCGAGAGCAAGCGGACCUCAUAAAGUGCGUCGUAGUCCGGAUUGGAGUCUGCAACUCGACUCCAUGAAGUCGGAAUCGCUAGUAAUCGUAGAUCAGAAUGCUACGGUGAAUACGUUCCCGGGCCUUGUACACACCGCCCGUCACACCAUGGGAGUGGGUUGCAAAAGAAGUAGGUAGCUUAACCUUCGG